AAGGCAAACCGCGAGGGAGAAGCAGAGGUAAUACGGGGGGUGGAAGCGUUAAUAGUAAGUACGGGGCGUAAAGCGUGCGCAGGCGGCUUAGUAAUGCAGAUGUGAAAUGCCUAGGCUCAACCUAGUAACGGCAGUUGAAACUAAUAAACUAGAGGAUCGUAGAGGGAGGUAGAAUUCCAGGUGUAGCGGUGAAAUGCGUAGAUAUCUGGAGGAAUACCAGUGGCGAAGGCGACCUCCUGGACGAAAACUGACGCUCAAGCACGAAAGCAUGGGGAGCAAACAGGAUUAGAACCCGGUAGUC
This 301-nucleotide ribosomal RNA is filed under the name uncultured Ferroglobus sp. Its description in RNAcentral is "bacterial SSU rRNA". It matches the Rfam family "Bacterial small subunit ribosomal RNA", at positions 493 to 795 of the family's 1533-position model. The record is from RNAcentral. Lineage: Archaea; Methanobacteriati; Methanobacteriota; Archaeoglobi; Archaeoglobales; Archaeoglobaceae.